GCUGCAUUAAGAAAAGAAAGGAAAAAGAUGUUAGAACAUUUUUAAGGAAAUUGAAAUAAUUCUCACAAUCAAUAUUGGACUAUAAACAAUAAAUUAUUACCAAUACAAUAACAUGCAAACAGACCUGUCAACCACCUAAAUAAUAGAUACUAUGCGGUAGGUUACCGGUUUUAAGGUAUACCGAGGUUUUAAACAGUCAAGGUUACAAAACCACUAAAAUGGUCUGUGAUACCGUCUCCAAGGUAUGAACUGUAUUUAUACAAAAUUCAUUAAAUCAUUAAGUCAUGUGAUUGAUUUGAUGUUUACAUGUUAUAUACAUUUUGAAAAUAUUAUAUAUAAUAUAAUUUAAAGGCUUUAUUUUUACCUGGCAUUUAAAAAUUACAAAUUUUAGUGUAGCAAUGGCAAUACAGCAAAACUGUAAAACCGUGGUAUUUUUGCUAAAGGUAAUCAUACCGCCAGAAUCUUAUACCGGCCCAUGCCUACUAAGCGGUUGUACCAAGUGUUAGAAACAUCAAGAUUCUCAAAUUUUUAGGGCUAGCGCAAUACCACAGUUUUGGCUAUUCUUCAUGUUCUCUAGGGCAGUUAUUUUGCACCAGUGACAGAAACAGUGACCAAAUAAUUCAUUACCUUAUCUACAUGUGAAGGAAGAUUUUUGGCCUGCACUUUCACAGCUGAUAUUAUAAAAAUCAGCUUAUGACAUUAACAUGUUUCAAGCGUUUUAAUUUACUUUUAUUUGUGAAGUUUAUCUAUCACAUGUGGAGACAUACGCACAUACGAAACGGCAAAAAGACGCUAAAAUCUGGGUUAAGAGCAAAAAACUACCUGCGCCAAUCAGUUUUUGCCAUUUAUGGGCUUUACCCUAUAAAAGAAAACCGUUUUAUGCAUUUAAAUGACCUUACACGUUAUCAGUUUAUUAAGCGUUUAGACUAUGUAGACACAAUGUGCACUAAGAUAAAAAAAUUGGUUAACACGACCACUCGUGGUGGCUUCACUCAGAGGUUGGAGAAGACAACCGGUGGACUAAACAUCAAGCCUCUGCACGAUUCAGGUAAGUGGAAUAAAAUACAUUGUAAAUAAACAUUAUUAAAACAGAUUGUAAAGUCAUUCAUUCAAAACUUGCUAUGACCUAAGCCUAAAUGACUUAAUUUCUUUUUAGAAUUAAGACAACCUUAGCAGGAGAGCCCCAGCAGUAACUUUCUCUCAAGCAGAUGAGCAAUAAGUUGCUUUGUAUGAACACCACCCUAACAAUCAAGUUUUCUACAGUAGUCUGUUAACAGUAGACCAAAGGUAUGAUGAUCAAUUUUAAAUGCAAUAUGGUUGAAAGGUCAGUAAACAAACAACAAAAAGGUAAUUUCUUAAUAGAAUGUCUGUACAUUUUUUGCUUUUGUUACAUAUUUCAUACAUCAAAAUCCUUAAACGUUAAUAAUUAUGUAUUCCAACUUGUUGCAGCUUGACAAAAAUGUAGCUUGAAGGAGAAGGGACAGCUGAGAAACAAAGUCCUGGUACGCAGACGACAAUACUAUAACACUGACAAGAGUAUAAUGAUGAUGGAGACGGAGACACAAGCCAGAGAAAGGGUGGACCAAACACCAGGCCAGAAUUCUGCAUGAGUCAGACUGAGGCUGCGUCCAAAUAUCACUUUGUGCAUCCCAUCGUGCAUCAUGUUCUGGAUGUAAAGCAUGAGACUUUUAAUUGUAUGUUAACAUUUCUACAUUUCUGCAUUAGUUUUAUGUAUUUUGUGAAACAUCUGCAACUGCAACAUUGUGUCGUUUAUUUAGGGACUACUGAAUAAAUAAUACACUUUAAUAAAGCUACAUACUCAAAACCAAGAGCUUUUUUACAGGAGCAAAGAAUUCUGCAUCUAAAAGUUUGAUAUAAGCAAAUGUUCAUUUCAGAGUGUUCAUUUUAUUUACAGAAAAACUUAAAAAUGGUAAAUAUAAAUUUAAAGUAGUUAAUAAAACACAAAUACGUUUUGGUGCAAAUUGCUGGCACUAUCUGGAUUUAAAUUUUUACGCAUGCUAAGUGUGUCCCAUCGGAUGUUAAUUCUACAUGCACGCUUGGGAUCUUCACGCCCACUAAAAUACUUAGGCCAAAUACAAAAAAACGUCAUAGUAGUCUAGUGCAAAGACAACAAGUGUGAACAUUUGGACACAUCCUCAGUUCAGUUCAUGAAGAUCUCUACUAAUGAGCUGAUGAUUUGAAUAAGGUGUGUUAAAUAAGGAAGACAUACAAAAUGUGAAUAGCAGAGGACCUCGAGGAACAAUGUUUAGGAACAGUUACACUGUAUAAAACAUUAACUAAACAGACAAAUUAUUUGUCAUAGCUUCAAUAAACAAAAGAAUGUCACCUGCAUUUUAGUUUCCAGCAUUUUUCCACAAUGAAGCCAAACUGGAAGAAAAUAAACUUCUGCUUUGCAUCUGACAUCAAUUCAGAAACCUGCAAAAAUAAUCACAAGAGAAUGAAGAAUGUUUUAAAUAUACAUAGAAAUAAGCUCUAAAGAGCGGCAUGGUUUACAGUAAAAUUAUGGGGUACUCACACUAUGCAUACUGUAUCAUACCAAAGUAUGUUUUACCUCCAAAGUUUGGUGUGACUAGUGUGAGCGCUCCGUACCUUACUACACUUGGUCUCUGCGACAGUCCAGUUUAGUUCAUGGUAGGGGGGCAAUAUUUUGAAACAUAAAUAUUUUCAAAUUAUUUGCGACCCUUACAAAGACACUAAUUUCCCACAGCCAGCAACAGCACAAUGUUUGUCUGACAUCACAAUCUUACUGUUUUUACAACUUUAUGAUUGUCAACAACUACUACUUUAGACUGAACACCAGUGGGCGGAGCCAACGAUAUAAUGAUGUGCUGUGUCUUUCUGUGGGGGAGGUCAAAUGAAAAUUAAUCUAGCUAGUGACAUCACUACUCCAGCCAUUUUACAUUCGUAAAACAAGAAUGCUGUCUGCAAUUCACUUAUGUUUCCAUGAUUGCAAAAACUUUUAUCGAUGUACAUAUACAAUUGUUUAAGUGUCAUAAUUAAAACAUGCCUAAAUUGGCAGUGGCCCUGUCGAUACAAAACUCAAGUGCAAAUCAUGACACUAAUAUAAACUGUAGUUUUGGCAAUUAUUGUAACAGUUAUCAGAUAUGAAUCGUGUCUUAUGUAAAUAUAAAAAGAGCAGGGAAAAAAAAUGAAUAUAGUAAAAAAAAUCUGAUCUGUGCAUUAAGAUUUGCAAUGUAAAUGCAGUCUUAUUGUGAGAAGAAAACUUGGUUAUUGCUGGAAUCAUGAAUGGUCUGAAUAGGAUUUGAGUUUGUUUACUUGUGAAACUUACCUGCACCACCAUUUACAGAUCCAGUGGGUGCAGAUCAUCAUACAGAUGGUUCAAGUGUGGAUCCACCUAAUAUUCAAGGUUUUCUGUCCUGGGACACUUGGCUAACCAUCAAGAAAGAACACACUCCAGUGGGCAUCCUUUAUCCAUCCAGACCCUCAUACAGAUGGUUGGAGUUUUGAUUCUCCUAAAGUACCAUGCAAGAGCACUCAUUUUCCCUCUUGAGACCAUGGUGUGACCUGCAAGGUCGAAUGGAGACUGUAAACGAGACAAUCUUGGAGUCACCUGCAUUCACUGGUCCAGUUAGCCCAAUUACAGAUGGAGAGUAUAGAAGAGGAUGAUGUCUUUUCUCCAACAUCUUUCUAGACUGAUAAAAGAUCUAGACAGGCUUGAACAAAAGUUAACAGAGGGGCUUAUAUAGAGAAUGGUGAGCAGCUACACAUAAAAGAAGAACAUGGAGAAUCUGCCCAGAGGUGUUAACCAGCAAUGCAGCUAUACAACUAAAUUGAUGCAGGCGGAAACAAUGUGUAAUGCAGCUGCUGCAGAAGAAGAAUCCGUCCGUCUACCACUGAAGGAGACGCGGAAAUUCCUUCCAAGAUGUUCUUUGCCCGAGGAAGCAUUUGAUUAAUUUAAAGAUAUUGUGUUUCUUUGUAUGUUAUAGAAAAACGUUGCUUUUUUUGCAUACACUCGUGUAAAUAUGCAUGUUAUGAAUGUUUUUCUUUUGUCUAAUUUAAAUAAAUUUUACGCAAUCAA
Non-coding RNA from Misgurnus anguillicaudatus (oriental weatherfish), 4060 nucleotides. Lineage: Eukaryota; Metazoa; Chordata; Actinopteri; Cypriniformes; Cobitidae. The record is from RefSeq and is a predicted model, not a curated record.